Molecule: ribosomal RNA, 630 nt
Filed under: Cryptodiscus foveolaris
Lineage: Eukaryota; Fungi; Ascomycota; Lecanoromycetes; Ostropales; Stictidaceae
Description: eukaryotic LSU rRNA
Rfam family: Eukaryotic large subunit ribosomal RNA
Source: RNAcentral
AUUGACCUCGGAUCAGGUAGGAUUACCCGCUGAACUUAAGCAUAUCAAUAAGCGGAGGAAAAGAAACCAACAGGGAUUGCCCUAGUAACGGCGAGUGAAGCGGCAACAGCUCAAAAUUGAAACCUGCCUUUGGCCGGAUUGUAAUUAGUAGAGGAUGCAUCGGAUGCGGCCCUGUUCCAAGUCCACUGGAAAGCGGCGCCAUAGAGGGUGAGAGUCCCGUUGGAACAGUGUCUGCUUCCUUGUGAUGCUCCUUCGACGAGUCGAGUUGUUUGGGAAUGCAGCUCUAAAUGGGUGGUAUAUUUCAUCUAAAGCUAAAUAUUGGCCAGAGACCGAUAGCGCACAAGUAGAGUGAUCGAAAGAUGAAAAGCACUUUGGAAAGAGAGUUAAACAGUACGUGAAAUUGUUGAAAGGGAAGCGCUUACAGCCAGACUCGCUUGGGGUGCUCAACCGUCUUUGGCGGUGUACUCGCCCCCUAGCGGGCCAACAUCAGUUCGAGCGGCCGGAUAAAGACCUUGGGAAUGUGAUACUCUACGGAGUAUGUUAUAGCCCGAGGUGUAAUGCGGUCAGCUUGGACUGAGGACCGCGCUUCGGCAAGGAUGUUGGCGUAAUGGCUGUCAGCGACCCGUCUUG